GAUCCUGCUCAGAUUGAACGCUGGCGGCAUGCCUUACACAUGCAAGUCGAACGGUAACAGGUCUUCGGACGCUGACGAGUGGCGAACGGGUGAGUAAUACAUCGGAACGUGCCCAGUCGUGGGGGAUAACUACUCGAAAGAGUAGCUAAUACCGCAUACGAUCUGAGGAUGAAAGCGGGGGACCUUCGGGCCUCGCGCGAUUGGAGCGGCCGAUGGCAGAUUAGGUAGUUGGUGGGAUAAAAG
RNAcentral lists this ribosomal RNA (243 nucleotides) under uncultured bacterium. RNAcentral's name for it is "partial 16S ribosomal RNA". It matches the Rfam family "Bacterial small subunit ribosomal RNA", at positions 15 to 263 of the family's 1533-position model. The record is from RNAcentral.